CGGGACGUAGCUCAGCCUGGUUAGAGCGCUGCCUUUGGGAGGCAGAGGCCGAAGGUUCGAAUCCUUCCGUCCCGA
Molecule: transfer RNA, 75 nt
Filed under: Actinomycetes bacterium
Lineage: Bacteria; Bacillati; Actinomycetota; Actinomycetes
Also listed under: 2 other names
Description: Actinobacteria bacterium tRNA-Pro
Rfam family: tRNA
About the family: Transfer RNA (tRNA) molecules are approximately 80 nucleotides in length. Their secondary structure includes four short double-helical elements and three loops (D, anti-codon, and T loops).
Source: RNAcentral